Molecule: ribosomal RNA, 502 nt
Filed under: uncultured bacterium
Lineage: Bacteria
Description: bacterial SSU rRNA
Rfam family: Bacterial small subunit ribosomal RNA
Source: RNAcentral
AACGAACGCUGGCGGCGCGCCUAAUACAUGCAAGUCGAGCGAGAAGACGUAGCAAUACGUUUGUAAAGCGGCGAACGGGUGAGGAAUACAUGGGUAACCUACCCUCGAGUGGGGAAUAACUAGCCGAAAGGUUAGCUAAUACCGCGUACGCUCCUUGGACUUCGGUUCAGGGAGGAAAGCGAUACCGUGGGUAUCGCGCUCUUGGAUGGGCUCAUGUCCUAUCAGCUUGUUGGUGAGGUAACGGCUCACCAAGGCUUCGACGGGUAGCUGGUCUGAGAGGACGAUCAGCCACACUGGCACUGCGACACGGGCCAGACUCCUACGGGAGGCAGCAGUAAGGAAUAUUGCGCAAUGGGCGAAAGCCUGACGCAGCGACGCCGCGUGGGGGAUGAAGGUCUUCGGAUUGUAAACCCCUUUCGGGAGGGAAGAUGGAACGAGCAAUCGUUCGGACGGUACCUCCAGAAGCAGCCACGGCUAACUUCGUGCCAGCCGCCGCAGUAAC